UCCUCAUACUUUUUCACUGUAAUAUCCAUGCUAGUUUAUUUUCCUUUUUAUGCUUUCUUCUUGUGUGUUUGAUAAACCUUAAGAAAAACAAAAAAAAUUAGUAGUAGCUUUUAGCUAGUUUACUUUUCUUGCUGUAGUAGUAGUAAUUAAAAAGAAAACCCAAAAAUAUUUCUUGUUCUUCUUUUGCUUGUUGGGAGCUUUCCCGUGUAAAUAGUUUUAUUUCUUUUCUUUGGGGGUCGAUAGGAGAAGACCAUAAUGAAAUUGUUGAAAUGGCUCUUAUAUGCAUUAUUGUUGAUUUAACCAAGAGCCCAUAUUGCCUUGUCUUCUCCUGUUUGUUGAAUGCUCGCAGAUUCCAGCUUAGUCCAAUGCACGUGCACUAUUAUUAUUAUUCACAUCGUUCGGUCGUGCAAGUGAAAGGCAAUUAUGAUGAUAUAUGAUAAACUGACUGAGAUGGGAGAAGCUGGUAUGAACUCGACCUCUCUUGUUUUUGUAAAUAUGAUUAGUUCAUCGUUCCUGAUUCAGCUUAUUAUGAAUAAACAUGUUUGCAAUGACAAUUAGAGAUUAUAGUUACUUAUGCCAUGCUUAAUUAGCUAGGAGCUUAUAAUGGUUUACCUUGCAUGCCAACAUGCUAUUAAAAUGGUUGUGAUGUGGUAUGAUGGGGUGGUAUCCUCCUUUGAAUGAUUUAAGUGACUUGACUUGGCACAUGUUCACGCAUGUAGUUGAAACAAAAUCAACAUAGCCUUCACGAUAUUUAUGUUCAUGGUGGAUUAUAUCCUACUCACGCUUGCACUCAAUGCUCAUUAAUUUUAAUGCAUGUUCACGACUGUUGUCGCUCUCUAGUUGGUCGCUUCCCAGUCUUUUGCUAGCCUUCACUUGUACUAAGCGGGGAUACUGCUUGUGCAUCCAAUCCCUUAAACCCCAAAGUUAUUCCAUAUGAGUCCACUAUACCUUCCUACAUGUGGUAUCUACCUGCCAUUCCAAGUAAUUUGUAUGUGCCAAACUCUAAACCUUUAAAUAAAAUUCUAUUUUGUAUGCUCGAAUAGCUCAUGUAUCAACUAGGGCUGUCUGUAUCUUCCAUGUUAGGCGGGUUAUUCUCAAGAGGAGUGGACUCCGCUCCUCACUCACGAGAAAAUGGCUGGUCACCGGGAUGCCCGGUCCCAUGCUUUAUGCAAAUCAAAUCAAAAUAGUUACAAACAAAACUCCCCCGGGGCUGUUGUUAGUUGGAGGCACUCAUUGUUUAGAGCCAGCCAUGGGUUGAUGCUUGUAGGUGGAGGGGGAGUAUAAACUUUACCAUUCUGUUUGGGAACCGCGUAUAAUGUGUGUAGCAUGGAAGAUAUCGCCCUCUCUUGCUUGUUCUGUUGACAAUGAAAGUAUGCCUCUCAGAAUAUUAUUUAUCUCUGCUUUAAAAUUAAGCUCUGGCACCUCUACAAAUCCCUGCUUCCCUCUAUGAAGGGCCUAUCCAUUUACUUUUAUGUUGAGUCAUCACCCUCUUAUUAAAAAGCACCAGCUAGAGAGCACCGCUGUCAUUUGCAUCCAUUACUAUUAAUUUAUAUUGGGUAUGACUAUGACUGGAUCUCUUUUACCAUGAAUUACAAUGUUUAGUGAGUCCUUGAUCUUUAAAGGUGCUCUGCAUUUAUGUUUUGCAGUCUCAGAAAGGGCUAGCGAGAUACCAUCUUGUUAUAUCAUAGCAUGAUUGUUUUGAGAAAGUGUUGUCGUCUGAGAUUUAUUAUUAUUGCUCGCUAGUUGAUUAUGCCAGUGACAUGAGUAAACAUGAGACCUAAGUGUUAUUGUGAAUAUGGUUAGUCAUAAUCUUUGUUGAAAGCUUGAAUGCUGGUUUUACAUAUCUAGAACAACAAGAGCAAACAGAGUUUGUAAAAGUUUUUCUUUAUCACUUUCAGUUUAUCAACUGAAUUGCUUGAGGACAAGUAAAGGUUUAAGCCUGGGGGAGUUGAUACGUCUCCGUCGUAUCUACUUUUCCAAACACUUUUGCCCUUGUUUUGGACUCUAACUUGCAUGAUUUGAACGGAACUAACCCGGACUGAUGUUGUUUUCAGCAGAAUUGCCAUGGUGUUAUUUAUGUGCAGAAACAAAAGUUCUCGGAAUGACCUGAAACUUCACGGAGAUUAUUUUUGGAGAAUAUAAAAAAUAUUGCCGAAAGAAUCAAGGCCAGGGGGGCCACACCCUUGCCACGAGGGUGGGGGGCGCGCCCCCUUGCCUCAUGGGCCCCCUGGUGCUCCACCGACCUCAACUCCAACUCCAUAUAUUCGUGUUCGGGGAGAAAAAAAUCAAAGAGAAAGAAUCAUCACGUUAUACGACACGGAGCCGCCGCCAAGCCCUAAACUCUCUCGGGAGGGCUGAUCUGGAGUCCGUUCGGGGCUCCAGAGAGGGGAAUCCGUCGCCAUCGUCAUCAUCAACCUUCCUCCAUCACUAAUUUCAUGAUGCUAACCGCCGUGCGUGAGUAAUUCCAUCGUAGGCUUGCUGGACGGUGAUGGGUUGGAUGAGAUUUAUCAUGUAAUCGAGUUAGAUUUGUUAGGGUUUGAUCCCUAGUAUCCACUAUGUUCUGAGAUUGAUGUUGCUAUUGUUGGGAACGUAGCAAUAAUUCAAAAUUUUCUUACGUGUCACCAAGAUCAAUCUAGGAGAUGCUAGCAACGAGAGAGAGGGAGUGCAUCUUCAUACCCUUGAAGAUCGCUAAGCGGAAGCGUUACAAGAACGCGGUUAAUGGAGUCGUACUCACAGCGAUUCAAAUUGCGGAAGUUCCGAUCUAGUGCCGAACGGACGGCGCCUCCGUGUUCAACACACGUACAGCCCGGGGAUGUCUCCUCCUCCCUCAUCCAGCAAGGGGAGAGGAGAAGUUGAGGGAGAACUCCAGCAGCACGACGGCGUGGUGGCAAUGGAGCUCGUGGUUCUCCGGCAGGGCUUCGCCAAGCACUAUGGAGGAGGAGGAGGUGUAUGAGGAAGGAGGGCUGCGCCAGGGAAGAGGUGUGGCUGCCCUCCCACCCCUCCACUAUAUAUAGGGGCAAGGGGAGAGGGACAGGCGCCCUAGGGUUUCCCCUAGGGGCGCCGACCAAGCAGAUUGAAUCUCCCUAGGGAAAAUCCUAGGGAGACUUGCCCCCCAAGCCAAGCAGGUGGAGGCUUGCCUCCCAAGCCAGGUGGAGGCGCCCCACCUCCCCAAGUAAUGUGGGAAAGGGUGUGGGGGGGGGAACCACCCCUUAGUGGGCUGGUUUGCCCCUUCCCCUUUGGCCCAUGAGGCCCUCCAACACUUGCAGGGGCUCCCGAAACACCUUUCGGUCAUGUUGGCCAUAGCCUGGUACCCCCGGAACACUUCCGGACUCCAAUACCCUUCGUCCAAUAUAUCGAUCUUCACCGCCGGACCAUUCCGGAACUCCUCGUGAUGUCCGGGAUCUCAUCCGGGACUCCGAACAACCUUCGGUAACCACAUACUAUUUCCCAUAACAACUCUAGCGUCACCGAACCUUAAGUGUGUAGACCCUAUGGGUUCGGGAACCAUGUAGACAUGACCGAGACACCUCUCCAGCCAAUAACCAAUAGCGGGAUCUGGAUACCCAUAUUGGCUCCCACAUGUUCCACGAUGACCUCAUCGGAUGAACCACGAUGUCGGGGAUUCAAUCAAUCCCGUAUUCAAUUCCCUUUGUCUAUCGGUAUGUUACUUGACCGAGAUUCGAUCGUCGGUAUCCCCAUACCUCGUUCAAUCUUGUUACCGGCAAGUCUCUUUACUCGUUCCGUAACGCAUGAUCCCGUGGCUAACUCAUUAGUCACAUUGAGCUCAUUAUGAUGAUGCAUUACCGAGUGGGCCCAGAGAUACCUCUCCGUCAUACGGAGUGACAAAUUCCAGUCUCGAUUCGUGCCAACUCAACAGACACUUUCGGAGAUACCUGUAGUGCACCUUUAUAGCCACCCAGUUACGUUGUGACGUUUGGUACACCCAAAGCAUUCCUACGGUAUCCGGGAGUUGCACAAUCUCAUGGUCUAAGGAAACGAUACUUGACAUUAGAAAAGCUCUUAGCAAACAAACUACAUGAUCUUGUGCUAUGCUUAGGAUUGGGUCGUGUCCAUCACAUCAUUCUCCUAAUGAUGUGAUCCCGUUAUCAAUGACAUCCAAUGUCCAUGGUCAGGAAACCAUAACCAUCUAUUGAUCAACGAGCUAGUCAACUACAGGCUUACUAGGGUCAUGUUAUGGUCUAUGUAUUCACACAUGUAUUAUGGUUUCUAGUUAAUACAUUUAUAGCAUGAACAAUAGACAAUUAUCAUGAACAAGGAAAUACAAUAAUAACCAUUUUAUUAUUGCCUCUAGGGCAUAUUUCCAACAGUCUCCCACUUGCACUAGAGUCAAUAAUCUAGUUCACAUCACUAUGUGAUUGUAAUGAAUCCAACACCCAUGCGGUUUGUUCAUAUCUCGCUUGUGAGAGAGGUUACUAGUUAACGGGUCUGAACCUUUCAGAUCCGUGUGUGCUUUACAAAUAUCUAUGUCAUCUUGUAGAUGCAGCUACCACCUGCUACUUAGAGCUAUUCCAAAUAACUGCUCUACUAUACGAAUCUGGUUUACUACUCAGAAUCAUCCGGAUUAGUGUCAAAGUUUGCAUCGACGUAACCCUUUACGACGAACUCCUUUUCCACCUCCAUAAUCGAGAAAAUUCCUUAGUCCACUAGAUACUAAGGAUAAGUUCGACCGCUGUCAUGUGAUCCAUUCCCGGAUCACUAUUGUACCCCUCGACUAACUCAUGGCAAGGCACACUUCCGGUGCGGUACACAGCAUAGCAUACUGUAGAGCCUACGUCUUAAGCAUAGGGGACGACCUUCGGCCUUUCUCUCUCUUCUGCCGUGGUCAGGUCUUGAGUCUUACUCAAUACUCACACCUUGUAACACAGCCAAGAACUCCUUCUUUGCUGAUCUAUUUUGAACUCCUUCAAAAUCUUGUCACGGUAUGUAUUCAUUUGAAAGUACUAUCAAGCGUUUUUGAUCUAUCCUUAUAGAUCUUGAUGCUCAAUGUUCAACUAGCUUAAUCCAGGUUUUCCAUUGAAAAACACUUUUCAAAUAACCCUGUAUGCUUUCCAGAAAUUCUAUAUCAUUUCUGAUCAACAAUAUGUUAACAACAUAUACUCAUCAAAAAUUCUAUAGUGCUCCCUCACUUCUUUGGAAAUACAAGUUUCUCAUAAACUUUGUAUAAACCCAAAAUCUUUGAUCAUCUCAUCAAAGCGUACAUUCCAUCUCCGAGAUGCUUACUCCAGUCCUUAGAAGGAUUGCUGGAGCUUUGCAUACUUGUUAGCAUAUUUCAGGAUUGACAAAACCUUCUGGUUGUAUCACAUACAACCUUUCCUCAAGAAAAUCAUCGAGGAAACAAUGUUUUGACAUCCUAUCUGCAAGAUUUCAUAAAUAAUGCAGUAACUGCUAAUAUAAUUCCAACAGACUCUUAGCAUCGCUACGAGUGAGAAAGUCUCAUCGCAGUCAACUCCUUGAACUUGCCGGAAAACAUCUUAACGACAAGUCGAGCUUUCUUAAUGGUGACACUUACCAUCAUUGUCCGUCUUCCUUUUAAAAUCCAUCUGUACCCAACAGCCUUACGACCAUCAAGUAGUUCUUCCAAAGUCUAUACUUUGUUUUUUUUAUAUAUGGAUCCUCUCUCGGAUUUUAUGGCCUCGAGCCAUUCGUCGGAAUCCGGGCCCACCAUCACUUCUCCAUAGCUCGUAGGUUCAUUGUUAUCUAGCAACAUGUCUUCCAAGACAGGAUUAUGUACCACUCUGAAGUAGUACGCAUCCUUGUCGACCUAUGAGGUUUUGUAGUGAAUUGAUCCGAAGUUUCAUGAUCACUAUCAUAAGCUUCCACUUCAAUUGGUGUAGGUGCCACAGGAACAACUUCCUGUGCCCUGCUACACACUAGUUGAAGUCAUGGUUCAAUAACCUCAUCAAGUCUCCACCAUCCUCCCACUCAAUUCUUUCGAGAGAAACUUUUCCUCGAGAAAGGACAUGUUUCUAGAAACAAUCACUUUGCUUCCGGAUCUGAAAUAGGAGGUAUACCCAACUGUUUUUGGGUAUUCUAUGAAGAUGCAUUUAUCCGCUUUGGGUUCGAGCUUAUCAGCCUGAAACUUUUCCACAUAAGCGUCGCAGCCCCAAACUUUUGAGAAACGACAGCUUAGGUUUCUCUAAACCAUAGUUCAUAUGGUGUCGUCUCAACGGAAUUGCGUGGUGCCCUAUUUAAAGUGAAUGCGGUUUUCUCUAAUGCCUAACCCAUAAACGAUAGUGGUAAUUCGAUAAGAGACAUCAUGGUAUGCACCAUAUCCAAUAGGGUGCAGUUAUGAUGUUCGGACACACCAUCACACUAUGGUGUUCCAGGCGGUAUUAAUUGUGAAACACUUUCCACAAUGUCUUAAUUGUGUGCCAAACUCGUAACUCAGAUAUUCAUCUCUAUGAUCAUAUCAUAGACAUUUUAUCCUCUUGUCACGACGAUCUUCAACUUCACUCUAAAAUCACUUGAACCUUUCAAUAAUUCAGACUUGUGUUUCAUCAAGUAAAUACACUCAGCAUCUACUCAAAUCAUCUGUGAAGUAAGAACAUAAUGAUAUCCACUGCAUGCCUCAGCACUCAUUGGACUGCACACAUCAAAAUGUAUUACUUCCAACAAGUUGCUUUCUUGUUCCAUCUUACUGAAAACGAGGCCUUUCAGUCAUCUUGCCCAUGUGGUAUGAUUUUCAUGUCUCAAGUGAUUCAAAAUCAAGUGAGUCCAAACGAUCCAUCUGCAUGGAGUUUCUUCAUGCAUAUAUACCAAUAGACAUGGUUCGCAUGUCUCAAUCUUUUCAAAAACGAGUCCAAAGAUCCAUCUACAUGGAGCUUCUUCAUGCGUUCUAUACCAAUAUGACUCAAAUGGCAGCGCCACAAGUAUGUGGUACUAUCAUUACUAUUUUAUAUCUUUUGGCACGAACAUGUGUAUCACUACGAUCGAGAUUCAUUUCAGGUGCAAGACCAUUGAAGGUAUUAUUCAAAUAAACAGAGUAACCAUUAUUCUCCUUAAAUGAAUUACCGUAUUGCGAUAAACAAAAUCCAAUCAUGUCUAUGCUCAAUGCAAACACCAAAUAACAAUUAUUUAGGUUUAACACCAAUCUCAAUGGUAGAGGGAGCGUGCGAUGUUUGAUCACAUCAACCUUGGAAACACUUCCAACACAUAUCGUCAUCUCACCUUUAGUUAGCCCCCAUUUAUUCCGUAGCUUUUAUUUCGAGUUACCAACACUUAGCAACCGAACCGGUACCUAAUACCCUGGUGCUACUAGGAGUACUAGUAAAGUACACAUUAAUAUAAUGUAUAUCCAAUAUACUUUUGUCGACCUUGCCUUACUUCUCAUCUACUAAGUAUCUAGGGUAGUUCUGCUUCAGUGACCGUUCCCCUUAUUACAGAAGCACUUAGUCUCGGGUUUGGGUUCUACCUUGGGUUUCUUCCCUGGAGCAGCAACUGAUUUGCCGUUUCAUGAAGUAUCCCUUUUUGCCCUUGCCCUUCUUGAAACUAUGUAGCGACCAGACCUCAAAUGGUCUGUGCUGCUGUGCACCAGUGUCAUCCCUAGAUCAGUAAUGCUGACACGCACAGUACAAAUGGAGGAUUUAUAACAGAGUAGCAAUCACACACUCAUUACAUCGAAUAUCUCCAAAGAGAUUAAGUAUGAUAAACAUGGCUUAAGGCCAUCUAAUAACGAUAACAGCGGAAGACAUGGAAGAUAAGUGAGUCCAUCAACUCCAGCGGCAUCACUGAGUAUAAGACCACGACCUAAGGCACCUUACUCAUCGUCUGAAACGUCUGCAACAUGAAACGUUGCAGCUCGAAAACGGGUCAGCACAUAGGAUAUGCUGGCAAUGUAACACAUAGAGAGUAAUGAACAAUGACAAUGCUAUACUACAUGCAUAUAUGGCUGGUGGAAAGCUCUAUGGUUACAGUUUUGCGAAAAGCCAAUUUUAUCCUACUUCAAAGGAAUAAAUUUUAUUUAACUAUCAUGGUGGUUGUGAAACAUUGAGAUGGUUGACAGCAUCUCAAUCCCAAUUAAAUGUCAUCAAUAACCCAACAAAAUUAAUUAGAAGUAACAUAAUGAUGAGAUUCACAUGAUAAUCCAAGUACUAGAUACUCAAGUUGUCCAUAACCGGGGACACGGCUAACCAUGAUUAGUUUGUACACUCUGCAGAGGUUUGUGCACUUUUCCCCACAAGACUUGAUCUCCUCCGUUGAAUUACUCGCACUACAUGGUGUUUGAGUAACGGAUGACCAAGACACAGUCUUUUAGAAGUGUUUGCACCUUACGUAUGGGUAGACAGUUACACCUACUUUCCCCUACAUCUGCUAGUCUACCACUGUAAGAGUUCACACAACUUAGUCAACUAUGCUAGAGCUCAUAAUAGCUUGCGGCUGCACACGGAAGUUUCUAGCAUGAAUAAUCUUAUGAUCCCUUUGAACCUGAGUGGCGGUCCAAAAGAAAAACAGGCAAUCCUGGAAUACCCAGGUACCUCAAUCCACCCAGAUGUGAGUUUUAGUUGCCACCUUAAGUAGACCAUUAAUUAACAAUCUCACAUCUGUCAUGAAAAUCUCUCAAACCCAAUCCACGUCUACGGGCAUAGCAUGGCAAUAAUAAUAGCAAACGUAGAAGUAACUCCCAAGGGUUUGAUAAUAAUACAGGUAAUAGGUUCUACCUCAACUACUUCCCAAAACCCACAAUUUAAUUAGAUCCUAAUCAUGCAAGUGUUUGAGGAAAACAGAUCUAAUGCAAUAAAAACUGGGUAUGGAAGGAAUAUGAUCAAAGUGUUACUUGCCUUGCUGAUGAUCCGCAAAACCUAGCGAUUCGAAGUAACAAGCGGCACACUCCGGGUACUCUAUCGCAAACAAACAAGCAUACAAUCAGUACUCAUCUAAUGCACAGGUAAAACUCGAAUGAAAGAUCCAACAGAAAGUUCAAUUUAAGAACUCCGGUUUGCAAAAAGAAUCAACUCGAAAGAAGCAACGAAAGUCAAACGGCGAAAGAAAAUAGCUUCCUUUACUAAUCUGGAUCUAGGUCAAAUUUUACUGUAGCAAAAACUUGUUUGAGUAGGUUAAACGGAAAGAGAAUUUCGAGAUGAAACUCUAGGCGCUUGAAUCGCAUGAUUCCGAUAAACGAGCGAGAAGUUAAACAGAAACGAAGGUUCGAUCAGAAAUCGAAUCUGAGAAAAAUAGCGGAAAAUCCGACGAAAAAGAAAAACGGAUGAACGGUUAAAGAACGGACGUUCGUUAACAGAGAAAAACCGAUGAACGCUCGCAAAAUAAUAAAACAAAAAAAAAACGAUCUAGGGUUUUUUUUAAACGAAGGGUUUUUUUAACAAAAACCGGCAAAGUCGAACGGGGCAGCGAGGCAGUACCUCGUCGGGNNNNNNNNNNNNNNNNNNNNNNNNNNNNNNNNNNNNNNNNNNNNNNNNNNNNNNNNNNNNNNNNNNNNNNNNNNNNNNNNNNNNNNNNNNNNNNNNNNNNNNNNNNNNNNNNNNNNNNNNNNNNNNNNNNNNNNNNNNNNNNNNNNNNNNNNNNNNNNNNNNNNNNNNNNNNNNNNNNNGAGGGGCGGCGGCUCCGGCGACGAACGCGGCGGCGGCGGCGAGGCGAGUGCAGGCGGCGGCGGCGACUUGAUGAGAGGAGGGAGAGAGGGGGUAUAAAUAGGAAGGGGGGCAGCAGCUUGGGGGAGGGGGCAAGGUGCGGCGGCGGGGCUUCCCGUGUCCGCCAUGGACACGGCGAUGGCGGCGUCGUGCGGGGAGAGGAGAGGGGCGCGGGUGGGCCGGUGGCCUGGGCUCGGCCCAGCGGGCGCGCGCGUCCUUUUUUUUUUAAAUAAGUUCCGCGGAAAAUAAUUCACAGAAAAAUAAAUAAAAAAUCAGAAAAAUAUAAAAUAAAUUUUCCCCAUCUAGUUAGAAAAUCUAGAAUAGGGUGAACAUUUUUGUAACACAAAAUAAAUAUUUUGAAAACAUGCAAUAUUUUUAAUGCAAUAAAAAUUGCAAAUAAAAUCCAAAAAAUUCCAAUAAAUGAUUUUAACAUUUUUCCUCCAGUAUUUCAAUUGUUUUGGAGAAGUCAUAUUUUCUCCUCUCGUUUAUUUUUAAAAUGAAAUAUUUUCCGGAGAGAAAAUAAUUAAAACCAAAAUCCUCGUCUUAUUAUUUGUGAAAAUCAAAUAUGAAAAUUUUGAGAAAAAUCCCCAACUCUCUCCGAGGGUCCUUGAGUUGCUUAGGAUUUAUCGAGGAUUUGUCAAAAUGCGAUAAAACAUGAUAUGCAAUGAUGAUCUAUGUAUAACAUUCCAAAUUGAAAAUUUGGGAUGUUACAAACCUACCCCCCUUAAGAUGAAUCUCGCCCUCGAGAUUCGGGUUGGCUAGAAAACAGGUGGGAGUGGUCUUUCCGUAGAUCUUCCUCUCGCUCCCAGGUGGCUUCAUCCUCCGUGUGGUGACUCCACUGGACUUUGCAAAACUUGAUAACCUUGCUGCGGGUAACUCGGCUGGCAUACUCAAGAAUCUUAACUGGCUUCUCCUCAUAAGUCAAAUCACUUUCCAGCUGAAUCGCUUCCAGUGGCACAGUAUCUCUCAGUGGUAUCUCAGCCAUCUCUGCGUGGCACUUCUUCAACUGCGAAACGUGAAAUACAUCAUGAACUCCAGACAAUCCUUUGGGCAAUUCCAGCUUGUAGGCAACCUCUCCCAUACGUUCCAAAACUCUGUAUGGUCCGAUAAAACGGGGUGCUAACUUUCCCUUAACUCCAAAGCGCUUCACUCCUCGAAGGGGUGAUACUCGAAGAUAUACUCGGUCUCAGACUUCGUGAACUGUCUCUUUUCGUUUAGAAUCAGCAUAACUCUUCUGCCUGGACUAGGCUACCUUGAGCCUAUCGCGAAUCAACCUCACUUUCUGUUCAGACUCCUUAAUCAAAUCUGGUCCAAACAACUGACGGUCUCCAACUUCGUCCCAUAACAACGGCGUUCUACACCUCCUUCCGUACAAAGCUUCAAAAGGGGCCAUCUUCAAACUGGUUUGAUAACUGUUGUUAUAAGAAAACUCCGCAUAUGGUAAAUUGUCUUCCCAACUAGAUCCAUAAUCUAGUGCACAUGCUCUCAACAUGUCCUCCAAAAUCUGGUUGACUCUCUCUGUCUGUCCAUCUGUCUGUGGGUGGAAUGCUGUACUAAAUGCCAGCUUGGUUCCCAAUGUUUCAUGUAACUGCUUCCAAAACUUCGAGGUAAAUUGGGUUCCUCUAUCAGAUACAAUGGUCCUCGGUACUCCAUGCAAACAUACGAUCCUGGUCAUGUAUAUCUUUGCCAACUUAGCACUGGUGUAAGUGGUCUUUACUGGAAUGAAAUGAGCCACUUUCGUCAAUCGGUCAACUACAACCCAUAUUGAGUCAUAGCCUGAACGAGUCCUGGGUAAUCCUGUGAUAAAAUCCAUGCCUAUUUUAUCCCACUUCCAUUCGGGUAUCGGCAAUGGUUGUAGCAAUCCUGCUGGCUUCUGAUGAUAUGCCUUCACUCUCUGACACACAUCACAAACUGCUACAUACUCUGCAAUAUCCUUCUUCAUUCCGGUCCACCAGAAAGUAUUCUUCAAAUCCAAAUACAUCUUGGUAUUCCCUAGGUGAAUCGAGUACGGUGAAUCAUGGGCUUCUUGCAAAAUCAACUUCCUGAUCUCCGGAUCAUUUGGCACAUAUACGCGGUCCUCGAACCAUAAGGUAUCGUGCUCAUCCUCACGAAAUCCCUUGGCUUUUCCUGUCCUCAUCUUCUCCUUUAUCUCUUCAAUCCCCUUGUCUGUCUUCUGAGCUUCUCUGAUCCUUUCCAUCAAGGUAGACUGAAUCUCCAAUGUCGCUAAAUAGCCUCUUGGGACUAUCUCCAAACAUAACUGGCGAAGGUCCUCGGCUAACUCCUGAGGUAACUCUCCUGUCAUGAGGGUGUUGAUAUGACUCUUGCGGCUCAACGUGUCUGCUACUACGUUAGCCUUUCCAGGGUGAUAAUGCAAUCUCAUAUCAUAAUCCUUAAUGAGCUCCAACCAUCUCUGCUGUCUGAGAUUUAACUCCUUCUGCGUGAAAAUGUACUUCAAACUCUUGUGAUCCGUGUACACCUCACAAUGGUUUCCGAUGAGAAAAUGUCUCCAUGUCUUCAAUGCAUGCACCACGGCUGCUAACUCCAAAUCAUGCGUAGCAUAAUUCUUCUCAUGGGGUUUAAGUUGUCGUGAAGCAUAUGACACAACUCUUCCUUCCUGCAUAAGCACUGCGCCAAGUCCUCGACGAGAAGCGUCGCAAUAAACUUCAUAGUCUUUGCGUUGAUUGGGCAGAAUCAACACUGGUGAUGUAACCAAUCGUUUCUUCAACUCUUGGAAACUAGCUUCACAUUCCUCAGUCCAAUUGAAUUUGGUGUCCUUCUUCAAUAGCCCAGUCAUGGGCUUAGCAAUCUUCGAGAAAUUCGAGAUGAAUCUCCGGUAGUAUCCUGCAAGUCCAAGAAAACUCCGGAUUUCUCCAACUGUCGUGGGUGAUUCCCAACUUGUCACUGUGUCAACCUUGGCAGGGUCUACUGCUAUUCCUUCUCCAGAAAUAACAUGUCCAAGGAAUCCAACUUCCUUCAGCCAAAACUCACAUUUGCUGAACUUGGCGUAUAAUUGAUGUUCUCUGAGCUUCUCAAGUACCAAUCGUAAAUGCUCCUCAUGCUCUUCCUCAUCCUUGGAAAAGAUUAAAAUAUCAUCAAUGAAUACCACGACGAACUUAUCCAAAAACUCCGUAAACACUUUGUUCAUCAGGUUCAUGAAAUAGGCAGGUGUGUUAGUCAGACCAAAUGACAUAACGGUAUACUCAUACAAUCCAUAUCUGGUGGUAAAUGCCGUCUUGGGUAUAUCCUGCUCUCGAAUCUUUAACUGAUGGUAUCCUGAUCGUAGAUCGAUCUUGGAAAAUACUUUAGCUCCUUGUAAACGGUCAAACAAAUCAUUGAUCAUCGGCAGUGGGUACUUGUUUUUGAUGGUCACUUCAUUCAAUCCUCGGUAAUCAACAACCAUCCUCAGCGAUCAAUCUUUCUUCUCCACUAGAAGUACUGGUGAUCCCCAAGGUGACGAACUUGGGCGAAUAUAGCCUUUAUCCAGUAACUCCUUGAUCUGCUUCUUAAUUUCCUCCAAAUCCUUUGCGGGCAUCCGGUAUGGUCUCUUAGAUAUUGGCCCUGUGCCUGGCAAAAGUUCAAUCAAGAACUCAAUGUCUCUAUCUGGUGGCAUCCCUGGCAACUCUUCUGGAAAUACAUCCGGAUAAUCCUUCACCCCUGGUACUUCCUCCUGUACAACUCCUAAUAAGGAAUUUACUUGAGUCCUCUUCGGCAUAUGUCGGGAUACAUACUUGAUCCUUUUCCCUUCCGGGGUGGUAAGCAAAAUCGUCUUGCUGGCACAAUCGAUGUUUCCUCCAUACAACGAUAGCCAAUCCAUUCCCAAAAUCACAUCCAAACCUUGCGAUUCCAAAACAAUGAGGUCUGAGGGGAAAACAUGCCUACCAAUGGCCAAUGGUAUAUGAAAACAUCCUUGGGUGGCCAUAUACUCUGCUCCUGGCGAGGUUACUAACAUAGGGGUUCUGAGAACUUUGGUGGACAUCUUAAACUUGUUCACGAAUCCCCUUGAUAUGUAUGAAUGCGAUGCACCAGUAUCGAAAAAAAGAACGGUUGCAGUAAAUGACUUAACCAAAAACUUACCUAUUACUGCAUCAGGCUGAGCUUCAAUCUCCUCCACGCUCACGUGGUUCACAUGUCCUUUGUUGAACGGAUUCGGCUUCUUCCCAGAGCUUCCAUUGCCAUUUCCAUUUUGGUCUUCAGGACAUUCAUUGGCAUAGUGUCCAUUCUUCUGACACUUAAAACAAGUGACUUGGCUCAGGUCCCUCUUGGCUGGGGUAGAUGGGUUGGUGCGGUUCUGUCCGUUGCUUCCUCCAUUCCCAUUACCAUUUUUAGAGCCAUUAUGGUUGUGCGAACUACCUCCUCCAUGGGUAUGCUGAAACUGUCCUCCCGGCUUCGGGGUAAAUCGGGGCUUCUGCUGAGCUCCUGAGUUAUACUUCCCUUGUCCAUACUUCCUCUUACGGUUUUCAAUCUGCUGUUGCUUCCCUUCAAUCAUGAGAGCUCUAUCUACCAGCUCCUGGUAGUUGUUGAAGGUUGCUACCAUCAACUGCAUACUCAGUUCAACAUUCAGUCCUUCCAAAACCUUCUCCUGCUUGGCUGCAUCUGUAGCAACGUCAUCUGGUGCAUAACGUGCUAACUUACUGAAUUCCUCCACAUACUGGCCUAUGGUGCGUCCUCCUUGGCGUAGGUUGCGAAACUCGAGCUUCUUCAUAGCCAUAGCUCCUGCUGAAACAUGUGUUGUACGGAAAGCUUGCUGAAACUGGUCCCAUGUGACAGUGUCAAUAGGGUGUCUGGCUGUAUAAUUCUCCCACCAUGAUGCUGCGGGUCCAUCAAGCUGAUGUGCGGCAAAACGCACUCUUUCCGCAUCUGUGCAUCCUGCAGUGGUCAACUCCCUUCCAACUUUGCGGAGCCAAUCAUCUGCAACAAUCGGCUCGGUGCUACUGGAAAACACCAGCGGGUUUAGCCUUAAGAAACGGGCUAAGUGGUCAACAGGUGGUGGUGGCGGUGGGUUGUUGUUGUUGUUGUUGUUGCCUUGGUUCUGCACUAACACUUGCAUCAGGGCAUUCUGUUGCUGAAUCAACUGGGUGAUCUCUGGCGGGAAAACAAAUCCGGUGUUGCGUCUCGGAGGCAUCUGAUAGGUUUAGAAAAGAUGAGAGUUAAGAAUAGAAUGAGGUCUAGAGAGAAAACACUACCCAUAUGCUCAUGAGACAAAUCAAUCAAUAUCACUCAAUCAAUUCAAACAAGGCAAAACGAUCGAUCUACUAGCGUUACAAAGUGCUUGAACUAUUCUAUUAAAUGGGGGAAAACUACUACUGGUAUGGUGGUCUACUAGAAAUUCUGAUCCGAUGAAGACUCCAUGAUGUCUGCUCCAGCUUCGUCAACCCAGUCAUCUUCACUUGGUUCCGAGUCAGUGUCGUCGAUGAUGAUGUAGUCAUCCGGACAAGUGCAUUCGUCGACUUCUGCUUUUGGCACUGGAUUUCCCAUGAAUGCUCCAAUCUUAUUCUCCAGGUCGUCAUUCUUCCCUACUAGUGCGUUGAUUUCCUCCAAAUAAUCUUCGCGUGUAGCCUUGAGUUCUUCUUGGAGUUCCUUGAUCUUCGUUAAUGCCUUCUUCAGUUCUUCCUUGUCCGUGCACAUCUGGUUCUCCUGGCGACGAAUAUGUUGGUUCUGCUCCUGGAUAAAAGCUGCAAUUGAUCCAUCCUUCUUGGUCUUGAUCAUCUCCCAUUGUGCGUCUCGGCGUCCACAAAUUUGGUAAAUUGUAUCCUUAAGCUCCUGGUGAUAGACUUCUCCAAUGCGUCCCAUGGUGAUGUGUGCGGCCAUGCUCUUCCCUAAACUCCAAGUUGGUGCUUCAAAAACCAAUCUUAUGGGUUCAGUAACUGGCACAAAUGUCCUUCCUGGAAUGAUAACUUAAAUCUUCCAGCUCUCCUCUUCGGGUAAUGUGGCGUUGUAGGUUCCGGUGAUGCUUGGUAUUCCUAUGUUCAAGUACUUGGUGAAUUCCUUCAAUUGUCGACCAAACGGCGUGUCUUCAUCUGGUUGCAUGAACUUGCUCCUUGCAUUCGCCAUUCCUAAAAGAGUAGAAAGUGGAGAGGGGUCAGAAAUGAGAAGAGAGAAACUUUCUAGGGCUUAAGCUUAGUGGUCGUGUCCUACAGUCAGCGUGUGCUCUGAUACCAAAUUUGUAGCGACAAGACCUCAAAUGGUCUGUGCUGCUGUGCACCAGUGUCAUCCCUGGAUCAGUAAUGCUGACACGCAUAGUACAAAUGGACGAUUUAUAACAGAGUAGCAAUCACACACUCAUUACAUCGAAUAUCUCCAAAGAGAUUAAGUAUGAUAAACAUGGCUUAAGGCCAUCUAAUAACGAUAACAGCGGAAGACUUGGAAUAUAAGUGAGUCCAUCAACUCCAGCGGAAACACUGAGUAUAAGACCACGACCUAAGGCACCUUACUCGUCGUCUGAAAAGUCUGCAACAUGAAACGUUGCAGCCCGAAAACGGGUCAGCACAUAGGAUAUGCUGGCAAUGUAACACAUAGAGAGUAAUGAACAAUGACAAUGCUAUACUACAUGCAUAUAUGGCUGGUGGAAAGCUCUAUGGUUACAGUUUUGCGAAAAGCCAAUUUUAUCCUACUUCGAAGGAAUAAAUUUUAUUUAACUAUCAUGGUGGUUGUGAAACAUUGAGAUGGUUGACAGCAUCUCAAUCCCAAUUAAAUGUCAUCAAUAACCCAACAAAAUUAAUUAGAAGUAACAUAAUGAUGAGAUUCACAUGAUAAUCCAAGUACUAGAUACUCAAGUUGUCCAUAACCGGGGACACGGCUAACCAUGAUUAGUUUGUACACUCUGCAGAGGUUUGUGCACUUUUCCCCACAAGACUUGAUCUCCUCCGUUGAAUUACUCGCACUACAUGGUGUUUGAGUAACGGAUGACCAAGACACAGUCUUUUAGAAGUGUUUGCACCUUACGUAUGGGUAGACAGUUACACCUACUUUCCCCUACAUCUGCUAGUCUACCACUGUAAGAGUUCACACAACUUAGUCAACUAUGCUAGAGCCCAUAAUAGCUUGCGGCUGCACACAGAAGUUUCUAGCAUGAAUAAUCUUAUGGUCCCUUUGAACCUGGGUGGCGGUCCAAAAGAAAAACAGGCAAUCCUGGAAUACCCAGGUACCUCAAUCCACCCAGAUGUGAGUUUUAGUUGCCACCUUAAGUAGACCAUUAAUUAACAAUCUCACAUCUGUCAUGAAAAUCUCUCAAACCCAAUCCACGUCUACGGGCAUAGCAUGGCAAUAAUAAUAGCAAACGUAGAAGUAACUCCCAAGGGUUUGAUAAUAAUACAGGUAAUAGGUUCUACCUCAACUACUUCCCAAAACCCACAAUUUAAUUAGAUCCUAAUCAUGCAAGUGUUUGAGGAAAACAGAUCUAAUGCAAUAAAAACUGGGUAUGGAAGGAAUAUGAUCAAAGUGUUACUUGCCUUGCUGAUGAUCCGCAAAACCUAGCGAUUCGAAGUAACAAGCGGCACACUCCGGGUACUCUAUCGCAAACAAACAAGCAUACAAUCAGUACUCAUCUAAUGCACAGGUAAAACUCGAAUGAAAGAUNNNNNNNNNNNNNNNNNNNNNNNNNNNNNNNNNNNNNNNNNNNNNNNNNNNNNNNNNNNNNNNNNNNNNNNNNNNNNNNNNNNNNNNNNNNNNNNNNNNNNNNNNNNNNNNNNNNNNNNNNNNNNNNNNNNNNNNNNNNNNNNNNNNNNNNNNNNNNNNNNNNNNNNNNNNNNNNNNNNNNNNNNNNNNNNNNNNNNNNNNNNNNNNNNNNNNNNNNNNNNNNNNNNNNNNNNNNNNNNNNNNNNNNNNNNNNNNNNNNNNNNNNNNNNNNNNNNNNNNNNNNNNNNNNNNNNNNNNNNNNNNNNNNNNNNNNNNNNNNNNNNNNNNNNNNNNNNNNNNNNNNNNNNNNNNNNNNNNNNNNNNNNNNNNNNNNNNNNNNNNNNNNNNNNNNNNNNNNNNNNNNNNNNNNNNNNNNNNNNNNNNNNNNNNNNNNNNNNNNNNNNNNNNNNNNNNNNNNNNNNNNNNNNNNNNNNNNNNNNNNNNNNNNNNNNNNNNNNNNNNNNNNNNNNNNNNNNNNNNNNNNNNNNNNNNNNNNNNNNNNNNNNNNNNNNNNNNNNNNNNNNNNNNNGCGGCGGCGAGGCGAGUGCGGGCGGCGGCGGCGACUUGAUGAGAGGAGGGAGAGAGGGGGGGUAUAAAUAGGAAGGGGGGGCAGCAGCUUGGGGGAGGGGGCAAGGUGCGGCGGCGGGGCUUCCCGUGUCCGCCAUGGACACGGCGACGGCGGCGUCGUGCGGGGAGAGGAGAGGGGCACGGGUGGGCCGGCGGCCUGGGCUCGGCCCAGCGGGCGCGCGCGUCCUUUUUUUUAAAAUAAGUUCCGCGGAAAAUAAUUCACAGAAAAAUAAAUAAAAAUCAGAAAAAUAUAAAAUAAAUUUUCCCCGUCUAGCUAGAAAAUGUAGAAUAGGGUGAACAUUUUUUUAACACAAAAUAAAUAUUUUGAAAACAUGCAAUAUUUUUAAUGCAAUAAAAAUUGCAAAUAAAAUCCAAAUAAUUCCAAUAAAUGAUUUUAACAUUUUUCCUCCAGUAUUUCAAUUGUUUUGGAGAAGUCAUAUUUUCUCCUCUCGUUUAUUUUUAAAAUGAAAUAUUUUCCGGAGAGAAAAUAAUUAAAACCAAAAUCCUCGUCUUAUUAUUUGAUGAAAAUCAAAUAUGAAAAUUUUGAGAAAAAUCCCCAACUCUCUCCAAGGGUCCUUGAGUUGCUUAGGAUUUAUCGAGGAUUUGUCAAAAUGCGAUAAAACAUGUAUGCAGUGAUGAUCUAUGUAUAACAUUCCAAAUUAAAAAUUUGGGAUGUUACAAACUAGUUGUUUUACUAACCAUCAACAAUUGAUGCUCCUACUUGAUUUCUACUUUCGCGGUGUCAAACAUCGCGAGUUGCUCAAGGAUCAUCAUGUCUAUCGCUGAUAUGUUAUAGUUUAUCACGAAGCUCUAAUAGCUUGGUGUCAGUGACUAUGGAGAACCAUCACUAUCUCAUCUGGAAGAUUAACUCCCACUCGAUUCAAGCGAUUGUAGUACUCAGACAAUCUGAGCACAUGCUCAACGAUUGAGCUUUUCUCCCUUAGUUUGCAGGCUUAAGAAACUUGUCAGAGGUCUCAUACCUCUUGACGUGGGCACUAGUCUGAAAUCCCAAUUUCAGUCUUUGGAACAUCUCAUAUGUUCUGCGACGUUUCAAAACCGUCUUUGGUGCCACAAUUUUAAACCGUUAGCAUCACACACUGAACUAUCACGUAGUCAUCAAAAUGUGUAUGUCAGAUGUUUCGCAACAUCUACAGACGACGCUCGAGGUUCAGCACACCGAGCGGUGCAUUAAGGACAUAAGCCUUCUGUGCAGCAAUGAGGACAAUCCUCAGUUUACGGACCCAGUCCGCAUAAUUGCAACUAUCAAAUUUCAACUAAAUUUUCUCUAGGAACAUAUCUUAGUAGAACUAAAGCAGAAGCUACGACAUAAUUUGCAAAGACCUUUUGACUAUGUUCAUGAUAAUUAAGUUCAUCUAAUCAAAUUAUUUAAUGAACUCCCACUCAGAUAGACAUCCCUCUAGUCAUCUAUGUGAUACAUGAUCCGAGUCAACUAGGCUGUGUCCGAUCAUCACGUGAGACGGACUAGUCAUCAUCGGUGAACAUCUCCAUGUUGAUCGUAUCUACUAUACGACUCAUGUUCGACCUUUCGGUCUCUUGUGUUCCGAGGCCAUGUCUGUACAUGCUAGGCUCGUCAAGUCAACCUAAGUGUUUCGCAUGUGUAAAUCUGGCUUACACCCGUUCUAUGCGAACGUUAGAAUCUAUCACACCCGAUCAUCACGUGGUGCUUCGAAACAACGAACCUUCGCAAUGGUGCAUAGUUAGGGGGAACACAUCUCUUGAAAUUUUAGUGAGGGAUCAUCUUAUUUAUGCUACCGUCGUUCUAAGCAAAUAAGAUGUAAACAUGACAAACAUCACAUGCAAAUCAUAAAGUGACAUGAUAUGGCCAAUAUCAUCUUGCGCCUUUGGAUCUCCAUCUUCGAGGCGCGGCAUGAUCACCUUCGUCACCGGGAUGACACCAUGAUCUCCAUCAUCAUGAUCUCCAUCAUCGUGUCUUCAUGAAGUUGUCUCGCCAAAUAUUACUUCUACUACUAUGGCUAACAGUUAGCAAUAAAGUAAAGUAAUUACAUGGCGUUUUUCAUUGACACGCAGGUCACACAAUAAAUUAAGACAACUCCUAUGGCUCCUGCCGGUUGUCAUACUCAUCGACAUGCAAGUCGUGAUUCCUAUUACAAGAACAUGAUCAAUCUCAUACAUCACAUAUAUAUAAUUCAUCACAUCCUUUUGGCCAUAUCACAUCACAUAGCAUACCCUGCAAAAACAAGUUAGACGUCCUCUAAUUGUUGUUGCAUGUUUUACGUGGCUGCUAUGGGUUUCUAGCAAGAACGUUUCUUACCUACACAAAAGCCACAACGGUGAUAUGCCAAUUGCUAUUUACCCUUCAUAAGGACCCUCUUCAUCGAAUCCGAUCCGACUAAAGUGGGAGAGACAGACACCCGCUAGCCACCUUAUGCAUCAAGUGCAUGUCAGUCGGUGGAACCUGUCUCACGUAAAUGUACGUGUAAGGUCGGUCCAGGCCGCUUCAUCCCACAAUGCCGCCGAAUCAAGAUAAGACUAGUAACAGUAAGCAAAUUGAACAAAUCAUCGCCCACAACUACUUUGUGUUCUACUCGUGCAUAGAAUCUACGCAUAGACCUAGCUCAUGAUGCCACUGUUGGGGAACGUAGCAAUAAUUCAAAAUUUUCUUACGUGUCACCAAGAUCAAUCUAGGAGAUUCUAGCAACGAGAGAGAGGGAGUGCAUCUUCAUACCCUUGAAGAUCGCUAAGCGGAAGCGUUACAAGAACGCGGUCGAUGGAGUCGUACUCGCAGCGAUUCAAAUCGCGGAAGUUCCGAUCUAGCGCCGAAUGGACGGCGCCUCCGCGUUCAACACACGUACAGCCCGGGGACGUCUCCUCCUCCCUCAUCCAGCAAGGGGAGAGGAGAAGUUGAGGGAGAACUCCAGCAGCACGACGGCGUGGUGGCAAUGGAGCUCGUGGUUCUCCGGCAGGGCUUCGCCAAGCACUAUGGAGGAGGAGGAGGUGUAUGAGGAGGGAGGGCUGCGCCAGGGAAGAGGUGCGGCUGCCCUCCCACCCCUCCACUAUAUAUAGGGGCAAGGGGAGAGGGGGAGGCGCCCUAGGGUUUCCCCUAGGGGCGGCGGCAAAGCAGAUUGAAUCUCCCUAGGGAAAAUCCUAGGGAGACUUGCCCCCCAAGCCAAGCAGGUGGAGGCUUGCCUCCCAAGCCAGGUGGUGGCGCCCCACCUCCCCGAGUAACGUGGGAAAGGGUGUGGGGGGCGCACCACCCCUUAGUGGGCUGGUUUGCCCCUUCUCCUUUGGCCCAUGAGGCCCUCCAACACUUGCCGGGGCUCCCGAAACACCUUUCGGUCAUGCUGGCCAUAGCCUGGUACCCCCGGAACACUUCCGGACUCCAAUACCCUUCGUCCAAUAUAUCGAUCUUCACCGCCGGACCAUUCCGGAAAUCCUCGUGAUGUCCGGGAUCUCAUCCGGGACUCCGAACAACCUUCGGUAACCACAUACUAUUUCCCAUAACAACUCUAGCGUCACCGAACCUUAAGUGUGUAGACCCUACGGGUUCGGGAACCAUGUAGACAUGACCGAGACACCUCUCCGGCCAAUAACCAAUAGCGGGAUCUGGAUACCCAUAUUGGCUCCCACAUGUUCCACGAUGACCUCAUCGGAUGAACCACGAUGUCGGGGAUUCAAUCAAUCCCGUAUUCAAUUCCCUUUGUCUAUCGGUAUGUUACAUGCCCGAGAUUCGAUCGUCGGUAUCCCCAUACCUCGUUCAAUCUUGUUACCGGCAAGUCUCUUUACUCGUUCCGUAACGCAUGAUCCCAUGGCUAACUCAUUAGUCACAUUGAGCUCAUUAUGAUGAUGCAUUACCGAGUGGGCCCAGAGAUACCUCUCCGUCAUACGGAGUGACAAAUUCCAGUCUCGAUUCAUGCCAACUCAACAGACACUUUCGGAGAUACCUGUAGUGCACCUUUAUAGCCACCCAGUUACGUUGUGAUGUUUGGUACACCCAAAGCAUUUCUACGGUAUCCGGGAGUUGCACAAUCUCAUGGUCUAAGGAAACGAUACUUGACAUUAGAAAAGCUCUUAGCAAACAAACUACACGAUCUUGUGCUAUGCUUAGGAUUGGGCCGUUUCCAUCACAUCAUUCUCCUAAUGAUGUGAUCCCAUUAUCAAUGACAUCCAAUGUCCAUGGUCAGGAAACCAUAACCAUCUAUUGAUCAACGAGCUAGUCAACUAGAGGCUUACUAGGGACAUGUUAUAGUCUAUGUAUUCACACAUGUAUUAUGGUUUCCAGUUAAUACAAUUAUAGCAUGAACAGUAGACAAUUAUCAUGAACAAGGAAAUACAAUAAUAACCAUUUUAUUAUUGCCUCUAGGGCAUAUUUCCAAUAGCUAUGACUUUGCUAUGCUUAACGCUUGUCACUAGGGCCCGAGUGCCAUGAUUUCAGAUUUGAACCUAUUAUGUUUUCAUGAAUAUAUGUGAGUUCUUGAUCAUAUCUUGCAAGUCUAAAGUCGCCUACUAUGUGUUAUGAUCCGGCAACCACGAAGUGACAAUAAUCGGGACCACUCCCGGUGAUGACCAUAGUUUGAGGAGUUCAUGUAUUCAGUAUGUGUUAAUGCUUUGGUCCGGUACUCUAUUAAAAGGAGGCCUUAAUAUCCCUUAGUUUCCGCUAGGACCCCGCUGCCACGGGAGGGUAGGACAAAAGAUGUCAUGCAAGUUCUUUUCCAUAAGCACAUAUGACUAUAUUCGGAAUACGUGCCUACAUUACAUUGAUGAAUUGGACCUAGUUCUGUGUCACCCUAUGUUAUGAUUGUUACAUGAUGAACCGCAUCCGGCAUAAUUCUCCAUCACUGAUCCAAUGCCUACGAGCUUUUCACAUAUUGUUCUUCGCUGAUUUACUUUUCCAUUGGUACUGUUACAAUCACUACAAAACCCAAAAAUAUUACUUUUGCUACCGUUACCGUUACUUCCAUACUACUUUGCUACUAAAUACUUUGCUGCAGAUACUAAGUUAUCCAGGUGUGGUUGAAUUAACAACUCAACUGCUAAUUAUUGAGAAUAUUCUUUGGCUCCCCUUGUGUCGAAUCAAUAAAUUUGGGUUGAAUACUCUACCCUCGAAAACUGUUGCGAUCCCCUAAACUUGUGGGUUAUGAAGACUAUUUUCCGGUGCCGUUGCCGGGGAGCAUAGCUCUAUUCUUUGAGUUACUUGGGAUUUAUAUCUGCUGGUCACUAUUAAGAACAUGAAACACGACAAACAAAAAUUUAUCCCUCAACUACGAGGGGAGGUAAGGAACUGCCAUCUAGCUCUGCACUUGAUUCACCUUCUGUUUUGAAUAAGCUUGCGACACCUAAACCUGCUUCUGCUAUUAAUUCUGAUAUGUUGCAUGUUAUUGAUGAUGCCACUUCUGUUAUGCAUGAUACUUAUGAUCAAACUACUUCUAUGCUUGAUACUAAUGUGUCACUUUGUGAAUUUCUUGAUGAACAACUUGCUAGGGCUAGAGAGAAUGAAAUUACUGAAACUGAUAAUAUUGAUGAAAGUGAUGAUGUAGACUCUCCCCCUAAAUAUGAAUUGCCUAUUGUGCCUGAGGGCUAUGUUAUGGAUGAAGAAACUGCUAGAGACUUUCUUGCUUUCAAUGAUAAAAGUGAUCUUAAGAAAUUAUUAGUUAAGUUGAAACAAAAAACUCUGAAUGCUAGAAUGAAAUAUGAUCCUGCUUAUGCUACUUCACCUAUCUUUGUUACUGAUAAAGAUUAUGAAUUCUCCGUUGAUCCUGAUAUAAUUACUUUGGUUGAGUCUGAUCCUUUUUAUGGCUAUGAAUCUGAAACUGUUGUGGCACAUCUUACUAAAUUAAAUGAUAUAGCCACCCUGUUCACUAAUGAUGAGAAAACUCGCUAUUACUAUAUCCUUAAAAUAUUUCCGUUCACAUUAAAGGGUGAUGCUAAGAUAUGGUUUAGUUCUCUUGAUCCUGGUUGUGUGCGUAGUCCCUAGGAUAUGAUUUAUUACUUCUCUGCUAAAUAUUUCCCCGCUCAUAAGAAACAAGCUGCUUUAAGGGAAAUAUAUAAUUUUGUGCAAAUUGAAGAAGAGAGUCUCCCACAAGCUUGGGUGAGGCUUCUCCAAUUACUUAAUGCUUUGCCUGAUCAUCUUCUCAAGAAAAAUGAAAUACUUGAUAUCUUUUAUAAUGGACUAACCGAUGCUUCGAGAGACCACCUGGAUACUUGUGCUGGUUCUGUUUUCAGGGAAAGAACACCAGAUGAAGCUGAAAUUCUAUUGAAUAAUAUGUUGACCAAUGAAAAUAAUUGGACACUUCCUGAUCCAACUCCUAAGCCAACUCCGAAGAAAAGGGGUGUUCUAUUUCUCAGUCCUGAAGAUAUGCAAGAGGCAAAGAAAUCUAUGAAAGAAAAGGGUAUUAAAGCUGAAUAUGUUAAGAAUUUACAUCCUAUUGAAGAAAUACAUGGUCUUAAUUUACCGCCUGUUGAAGAAUUAUAUGGUCUUAAUUAAUCACCUAUUGAAGAAACACAUGGUCUUGAUAACCCGACACAGGUAGUAAAGGUAAAUUCUCUCUAUAGAUAUGAUAAAGCUGAUAUCCGUCCUACUAAGUUUGCUAGCCAAUGUUUGGAUGAGUUUGAGAACUUUAUGGUUAAGCAAGAAGAUUGUAAUGCUUAUUUUGGUAGACAAUUUAAACAAAAUGCUUAUAUGAUUGAACACUUGGGUGAUUAUAUGUCUAGAGUUAAAGGUGAACUUAAGCUCAUUAGUAAACAUGCUUCUAUGGUUACCACUCAAGUAGAACAAGUACUUAAAGCUCAGAAUGAUUUGCUCAAUGAAUUGAAUAAUAAGAAUAAUGAGUAUGCUGUUAGAGUGGCUACUAGAACUGGUAAAAUGACUCAGGAACCUUUGUAUCCUGAAGGCCAUCCUAAGUGAAUUGAGCAAGAUUCUCAGAGAAAUAAUGUAGAUGCACCUAGUCCUUCUAAAAAGAAGAAAAAGAAAAAAACGAGAGGGCUUUGCAUGCUUCUAGUGAACCUGUUGCUGAAAUGCCUGAGAAUCCAAAUGAUAUUUCUAUUUCUAAUGCUGAAACACAAUCUGGUAAUGAACAUGAACCUAGUGAUAAUGUUAAUGAUAAUGUUCAUAAUGAUGCUCAACCUAGCAAUGAUAAUGAUGUAGAAGUUGAACCUGCUGUUGAUCUUGAUAACCCACAAUCAAAGAAUCAACGUUAUGAUAAGAGAGACUUUGUUGCUAGAAAGCACAGUAAAGAAAGAGAACCAUGGGUUCAGAAACCCAUCCCUUUUCCUCCUAAACCAUCGAAGAAAAAGGAUGAUGAGGAUUUUGAGCGCUUUGCUGAAAUGAUUAGACCUAUCUUUUUGCGUAUGCGAUUAACUGAUAUGCUUAAAAUGAAUCCUUAUGCUAAAUAUAUGAAAGAAAUUGUUACAAAUAAAAGAAAGAUACUGGAAGCUGAAAUUUCCACCAUGCUUGCUAAUUAUACUUUUAAGGGUGGAAUACCUAAGAAACUUGGAGAUCCAGGAGUACCAACUAUACCAUGCUCCAUUAAAAGAAAUUAUGUUAGAACUGUUUAUGUGAUCAUGGAGCCGGUGUUAGUGUUAUGCCUCUCUCCUUAUAUUGUAGACUUGAUUUGAAUAAGUUGACACCUACUGAAAUAUCUUUGCAAAUGGCUGAUAAAUCAACUGCUAUACCUGCCGGUAUUUGCGAGGAUGUGCCUGUUGCGGUUGCAAACGCUACUAUUUUAACGGACUUUGUUAUUCUUGAUAUUCCCGAGGACGAUAGUACGUCUAUUAUUCUUGGAAGACCCUUUUUGAAUACUGCAGGGGCUGUUAUUGACUGCAACAAAGGCAAUGUCACUUUUCCUGUUAAUGGUAACGAGCAUACGGUACACUUUCCGAGGAGGCAACCUCAAGUUCAUAGUAUAAAUUCUAUUGGAAAAAUUCCAUCGAUUAUUAUUGGAGGUUUUGAAUUUCGUCUUCCUACUGCCAAGAAGAAAUAUGAUAUUCUUAUUAUUGGGGAGUGCAUAUCCCCGUUGAGGUAACAUAGUGUUAUUCGAAAUUUCUCCGGUUCCAUGUUAUUCAAAAUGAGUUUGUUAACAAGACCUGAUCAACCUUGUUAGUGGAUUCCUUUUGAUGAGCAUGAGAUGGAUGCAAUUAGAAGGCACAACCUUCUAUACCCUCUCCCUACUUUCUGUUAUUUAGUCGAAAUAAAGUAAAAGUAGUAAUUUUUUUGUCUGUUUUCUGAAUUAUCCGUGCAAUAUAAAAAUACCCCGAAAAUAAAAGUUCUCCAAAUGCCCUGAGAUUGAAAUACGAUUUUUUCUGGAAUAUUUGAGAAUAUCUGGCACUGAGAACACAGCAGGGGGAGCAAGCACCUAGGCACGAGGGUCCAGGGCGCGCCGACCCCCCUGGGCGCGCCCCCCUGCCUCAUGGGCCCACGGUGGCUCCCCUCCACUUAUUCCUGCACCCACACACUUCUUCUUCCUCCCAAAAAAUCACCAUCCAGCUCAAGCACGAGUUCUAGCUCAUUUUGCUGCGAUUUUCGAUCUCCUUGCUCAAAGCACCUCUCACAAAACUGCUUUGGGGGAUUGUUCCUUGGUAUGUGACUCCUCCAUUGGUCCAAUUGGUUUUUGCUCUAGUGCUCUAUUCAUUGAAAAUUUGUGCUGCCUAGGUGACCAUGUUCUUGAGCUUGCAUGUCACAUUUAUAUGGUUCCAAGUAGUUCUAAUGCAUCAUAUAGGCUCGAGGCACUUGUAGAAGUAGUUGUUAUCCAUUUUGUUGAUCUUGAUUCACUUUUAUUUGAAGUUACUAAAAAUUUCAGAAAUUUUCAAAAAAUGAUGAAGAUAUUUUUAAGGGACUCAUCGAGCCGAAGCUCGAAGGAAAAACAAAGUGAAGAAGAAGAGAGGCCCAAAUAUAAUCUGCCUCGCACCACGGAGGUUCGGCCGUGUGAAUGGCCUUGAGAUGAUUUAUUAAGAGCAGCCGGGAUUUAUGAUUAUUUUUAUGAGUUGGCUGAGUGCAGGCCUCACCGACUUCCUCCGUGACCAACGCGAAUAGUAUCUCUUACUCAACAAUACCUUGGUGCAAGAUUUUCAUUCCAUUCUAGGAGGUCACCACAUACGGUGGAUUUUUAUUUAUAUGGUGAGUAUAAGGAGAUGACCCUUCGUGAAUUCUAUAGAGUUUGCAAGUUACCUUUUCCAGGUAUCAUAGAGAACCACAUAGUAAUGAUGUGGAGGGGUUUAUUGAUACAAUUGCUGUAGGGGAAACGAGGAAAGUUUUUGAUGCACGAAUCACUAGCAUACAUUUUCCUGUUCUACGUUACUUUGCUAUAUUUGCUAGUAGAUGCUUAAUUGGUCGCGGAAACUGUGGAAACCUGAGUGUCCCUGAUAUUAUUAUUUUGUUCCAUGCCUUGUUUCGAGAUGACACAUUUAGUAUGGGCGCUAUCGUUGCAAGGCGGUUAAAUCUUAACCGUAGUAAGGGCCCCAUCUUGGGAGGCAUCUUCGCCUUGCGCCUCGCUGCACAUUAUAACAUACCUAUUAGGCACUAUGAGAAAGAAGAAAAGUUGUUGCCUACUGUUUUUCUAGGCUAUAAGAGUAUGGUAGCACACGAUUUUAUUGUUAAGAAUAGGGAAAGGGAGCUUAAAUACAAACUGUUAUUUGAUAAAAAUCACCCAGAGACUAUUACCUUGCCUGCUCCUUCCUUGUUUGAUUUGUCUGCACGCAAGUAUCUCGUUCCGCUGGUGGCCAUCCACGCCUACCAGAACUGUACAUCAGCCACAGAGCCAGAGCCGGAACCACAAUUUGAUCCUCCAUGAUAGUCUAAUUACCAGUGGGAUCCAGAGGCGAUUGCCAACCAGUGGCAAUACGAGGCUUCUUCUCAGUACGUCCCCAACUACAACUAUGGAUAUCCGCCAGGCCAGCUGUGGCAAUAGACCAACUCAGGCCAAAAGCCUAAGCUUGGGGGAGUACGUAUUUCUCACCGACAUUACAUUUAUGUUCACACACUCAUUGCUAGAUGUCGGUGCUCAUACUUUUUCACUGUAAUAUCCAUGCUAGUUUAUUUUCCUUUUUAUGCUUUCUUCUUGUAUGUUUGAUAAACCUUAAGAAAAACAAAAAAAAAUAGUAGUAGCUUUUAGCUAAUUUACUUUUCUUGCUGUAGUAGUAGUAAUUAAUAAGAAAACCCAAAAAUAUUUCCUGUUCUUCUUUUGCUUGUUGGGAGCUUUCCCGUGUAAAUAGUUUUAUUUCUUUUCUUUUCUUUGGGGGUCGAUAGGAGAAGACCAUAAUAAAAUUGUUGAAGUGACUCUUAUAUGCAUUAUUAUUGAUUUAACCAAGAGCCCAUAUUGCCUUGUCUUCUCCUGUUUGUUGAAUGCUCGCAGAUUCCAGCUUAGUCCAAUGCACGUGCACUAUUAUUAUUAUUCACAUCGUUCGGUCGUGCAAGUGAAAGGCAAUUAUGACGAUAUAUGAUAGACUGACUGAGAUGGGA
This 28215-nucleotide long non-coding RNA is filed under the name Triticum aestivum (bread wheat). RNAcentral's name for it is "long non-coding RNA (TAES_LNC013494)". Lineage: Eukaryota; Viridiplantae; Streptophyta; Magnoliopsida; Poales; Poaceae. The record is from RNAcentral.